AGAUUAUUCUCUCUUUUUUCCUCUUUCAAAGAAUGAGAUGACAAAUGAUAUGCUCUAGAAAACACAUUUUAUUCCAAGAGAUCAGAGGAGUACUCUUCUAAUUUCAAGAAUUUCUUACAAUUUAAGUGUUCAUUCGAUGAAACUGAAAGGUAUGAAAGAUCUUUUUACUAUGAAGGUGAUGGACAAAUUCAUAAUGCUCACCGUAAUAAGUCCUUACUUCCCCGCAGGCCCAACACAGUUACAAUCAUCCUUCAAAAUCAUCUUGAAAUUUUCGUGCACCAUUCAAACUGUUGCUGAAAUAGUUCGAGAAUCAAUACUUCUGUGUAUUUGUUCAUGAUUAUCCGGGAGAUUGAACACAACUGAAAAAUGCAUCUGCUAUUGUAGAAUUUAUAAAUAGUAUAUAUGUAACAGUGUAAAUAGGCAACAAUUAUGAUACGUGAAUAUCGUGAGCAUCCAGUAGUAUGAUAUUUCUUUUGUUGUAUAAAGCAUGUAUUUGGGAUUUA
Capsicum annuum is the source of this 503-nucleotide long non-coding RNA. RefSeq lists it as uncharacterized. The transcript has 4 exons. NCBI's taxonomy places the organism in Eukaryota, Viridiplantae, Streptophyta, Magnoliopsida, Solanales, Solanaceae. The record is from RefSeq and is a predicted model, not a curated record.